GCCUCGUCCCACUCCCACUCCCAUUCUAGCCGCCAGAAGAACCCUACCCCCCUUGCCCAAUGCCCCCCGAUCCCCAUAGCCACCGCACGGCCUCUCUCCUCCUUCCCUCCCGCCGCUCCCUCUCCUUGCUCGCAGCUGCCUCCUUCCCACCUCUGCCCGAGCUCCGCCUUCCUCACCCGCCUCCUCCUCCUUGCCAUCGGCAGAAGCCUCAAGCCACGGCAUCACCGCCACCAGAUCCACCUCGCAACCUCUCUUCCUCCCCUGUCUGACUGCUGCGUGGUCGCGUCAGGCCCAUGCCGGGGCCGUCGCCACGGCUGCAGCCGCCGCCGCUGGAUGGCUCCGUCGGUCCCUCCCGCUCCAGAUCGAAAACUGAGAGAGCGACGGGAGGGAAGAAGGGGAUCGGGGGAGGGUAGAGCACGGGAGAGAAGGCGAGCUCGCGGCUGACCGCAGUGUGUGAGGCGGACGGGUGAGAAACAUUUGUGGUCGUGCCGUUGGCGACUGGAGAUUUGGAAUGCGGCCGUGGCCAUGGGCGGUCCUGGAGCUGGAUCGCGUGUGUGCUGCCUCCAACCUGCUUUGCUGCUCCUGCGAUCUCAAGGUAUGGUAUGGAUCUGCUUUGCGCGUUGCUUUAGCAAAACUGAUUAGUUAUCUAUACAUAGACGUGUGCAGAUCUGAGGACGAAGGGAAGAAUAAGAAGAAUUUAGCUAGAGAUCUGAAGAAGAUCAAGGUGAUUUUUCUCCCUCCUGUUAAGCUUUGUUAUCUCAUUUUGAUGCUAUUGUUUGUGAUUGAUGUAAACAUGAGGAAGAUAAGAGAUCACAACGAGGCUAAAUGAGAUUUGUGGUGACCAAAAUUCUUUCUUUGUUUACCUACAGAACUUUAUUGCACUAUUGAUUAUGUACUAUUUUCCUUUCCUAAAGGAAGAUGCCGAGUCAUGUAACAUCUUUAAAGAAGAGAGAAUCUGCAUUUUGUUCAUGUGCUUUCAGUUAGGGUGGAUUUGUGUUUUCAGAAAUGAGGCAACCUUACAUGUACAUAUUCACAUAUUUCCUUUAUAACACUACCAGCACACAUGAGUUCUUGUGUUUUUAGAGCUUCAUGGAAACAGGAUUCGGUGCUGCCCACUUAGUCUUUUUUUGCAGAUAUAUUUCCUUUAUCACUCCCCCAGUAGACGUGAGUUCUUGUGGCGGGGUUUUUCAUGCCGUCAUGUUAGGAAUUUAUUAUCGGAUUGUAGAUGAGGUCCUUCUUCAGUUCAGCUACGCUGGGCACUGUUUCCACUUCUUGUUUCUUACUUAUUCAUGUGCUUUCAGUUAGGGCGGAUUUGUGUUUUCAGAAAUGAGGCAACCUUACAUGCACAUAUUCACAUAUUUCCUUUAUAACACUACCAACAGACAUGAGUUCUUGUGUUUUUAGAGCUUCAUGGAAACAGGAUUCGGUGCUUCCCACUUAGUCUUUUUUUGCAGAUAUAUUUCCUUUAUCACUCCCCCAGCAGACGUGAGUUCUUGUGGCGGGGUUUUUCAUGCCGCCAUGUUAGGAAUUUAUUAUCAGAUUGUAGAAGGCCAAAAAAGGCGGAGACGAGUCAUGGAUCCUGCUGGCAAUGGCUACUGGUUGUAGAUGGAAUUUAAGCAGAGGAAUCGCAAAAGUUGUGCCCCAUGAGGCUAGCGACCAAAGGCCCGAUUUGUUUCCGUUGAAGCUUAUGUUCAGCUUGGCCCUUCAUCUGGGUGUAUGGUUAUCCUCAUCUCUAUACGCGCAUGCAUGGACGAGCUUCAGUCUGAUGAGGAGAAAACAAUCAUGUUGAGUUUUAAUCAGAACAGGUGGACAACCAUGUAAAAGGUUGGAAGAACUGUUCUAUUUUUGCAUCUGCAACCAGCUGCUGCUGCUCAAGAUUUGCUCUCCUUUUCCAAUGCAUGUAGUACAUCAUGAAGUGGCAGGCUGGAAGAAGUCCAAAGCCAGUUUCCGUCGGAUGAGAAUUCAUAGCAUCAUUGUGAGAUGGAGUCGAUUCAAGCAUCACAUGUUGGAAAUACUGCACCAUAGUGACAUAAGGGGCAUCGCAUUCAGGAAACCUAAUGAUUCCAUAUACACCUUCCCAAUGCCUGAUUGCAUAUGCCAACAAGAUGGAAUAUGAUCUAGGCGUUAGCAUACAUAACUGAGGGAUGCAUAUCCUCUGCCUUUGUGCAACAAAGGCACCAAAGGCAUGGCAUUGUUGACUGCAUGAUCAGGAUUUGAUGGUCAUGAUGAAAACUGGAGUGAAAUAAAGCAUUUGGCGCUUCUCAGGAGAUUCUUAAACCCUCUGGCAUACCCCAAACCGUUCGAUUCUGGAUAUAAUGGUCAAAAGGUGCCUAAUGACAAUGAUUUCCAUAGGAUUAGAAAUUGAGAGGAUGCGAGGGAUUUUGUAAAGUUAGUAAUCUGUAGGUAGUCCACCAUAUAGCAAUCUCCAUUUGUUCAAUGGGUUGUGGAUAUGAGUACAACCUGAGUGCCUCGAUGUAUAUUCGAAAACAACAAAGAAAGGAAAUUUUCAGUAUAUCAUUACUCAUCA
Long non-coding RNA from Triticum aestivum (bread wheat), 2527 nucleotides. RefSeq lists it as uncharacterized. The record is from RefSeq and is a predicted model, not a curated record. Lineage: Eukaryota; Viridiplantae; Streptophyta; Magnoliopsida; Poales; Poaceae. The transcript is spliced from 5 exons.